RNAcentral lists this transfer RNA (82 nucleotides) under Laetiporus sulphureus 93-53. Its description in RNAcentral is "tRNA-Ala". It matches the Rfam family "tRNA". Rfam says of the family: Transfer RNA (tRNA) molecules are approximately 80 nucleotides in length. Their secondary structure includes four short double-helical elements and three loops (D, anti-codon, and T loops). Lineage: Eukaryota; Fungi; Basidiomycota; Agaricomycetes; Polyporales; Laetiporaceae. The record is from RNAcentral.
GGGCAUGUGGUGUAGUUGGUUAUCACGCUCGCUUAGCACCUGUGUUUGCGAGAGGGGUCCGGUUCGAUCCCGGACAUGUCCA